This 263-nucleotide long non-coding RNA is filed under the name Lathyrus oleraceus (garden pea). RNAcentral's name for it is "Pisum sativum (pea) long non-coding RNA (PSAT_LNC002782)". Lineage: Eukaryota; Viridiplantae; Streptophyta; Magnoliopsida; Fabales; Fabaceae. The record is from RNAcentral.
GGUUUAUGAAAUAAAAGUAGUGCAUAAGAUUAACAUACUUUGCUUUGAAUGAUGUGGCCUGUGGAUGAUCAUAAUCAAUAAACAGUUUUGAUUCAUUCCAAGCAUUAGAAAUAUAGAGCUUUCCAAUGGUUGCGUCAAAGGAAAACAUAACAAAUUAAAACCCUACAAAAGUUGGACAUGCUUAAGGAAGAAAACAAACUUAUAAUGUGAAGGCAUACUUGAACUUUUUUGGAACAUAGCAUGAGUGAUAAUGAUGGUUUUGG